Molecule: unclassified non-coding RNA, 315 nt
Filed under: Hevea brasiliensis (rubber tree)
Lineage: Eukaryota; Viridiplantae; Streptophyta; Magnoliopsida; Malpighiales; Euphorbiaceae
Source: RNAcentral
GCUCAGUUGCUUCCAAAGUAAACAUGUAAAAGUGCCUAUAAGGAUGGAAAUAGCAUAGAACUACAACAUAAUCACCCACUCCCAAACAACCUCUAAAAGAGGAGCCACUUUCUAACCGUAAACUGUCACCUACAAAGGUCAAUAUGCAGACAAAGGGGGAAAAACUUCCCAAAAUCCCAUGUCCACGAUCCAUUCAACAAAAAGCUAAACUGGAGGUACCUUCACAGUCCCCCUGUCCCUCAAUCCAAAAAAAGGGGGACCUUCAGCUAUUUUUAAAUAUAUAAAAACUUGAUUUCCCACUAUUCAAUCUUGUUA